GCUUUCUGAGCUGACAGCGGUUUGAUCAAAUACACUGGCUCAGUUCAGCAGGAAC
RNAcentral lists this microRNA precursor (55 nucleotides) under Haplochromis burtoni (Burton's mouthbrooder). Its description in RNAcentral is "microRNA abu-mir-24a precursor (abu-mir-24a-2)". Its record names the gene abu-mir-24a-2. Lineage: Eukaryota; Metazoa; Chordata; Actinopteri; Cichliformes; Cichlidae. The record is from miRBase by way of RNAcentral.